Molecule: ribosomal RNA, 462 nt
Filed under: Capcicada decora
Lineage: Eukaryota; Metazoa; Arthropoda; Insecta; Hemiptera; Cicadidae
Description: partial 16S ribosomal RNA
Rfam family: Bacterial large subunit ribosomal RNA
Source: RNAcentral
UGGCCGCGGUAAUUUGACCGUGCAAAGGUAGCAUAAUUAUUAGUCUUUUAAUUGAAGGCUUGAAUGAAUGAUUGGAUGAAAAAUUUACUUUAUUAAUUUAAAUUAUUUAAUUUAUGAUCUAAGUAAAAAUGCUUAGAUAAAUGAAUGGGACGAGAAGACCCUAUAGAGUUUUAUUUUUUUUUUUUAUUAUAAAAUUCUAGAAUUAAUAUUUUUAUAGUAAUAAAAAAUUUUUGAUUGGGGUGAUCUUAAAAAAUAUUAAACUUUUAAUUAAUAUUUCAUUAAUCUAUGUUGAAUUGAUCCAAAAAUUUUUGAUUACAUGAUUAAAUUACCUUAGGGAUAACAGCGUUAUUAAUUUGAAGAGUUCAAAUCGAUAAAUUAGUUUGCGACCUCGAUGUUGGAUUAAGAAAAAAUUUUGAAGUAGUAUUUAAAAUAAUGGGUCUGUUCGACCUUUAAAUUCUUACG